This is a long non-coding RNA of Erinaceus europaeus (western European hedgehog), 1134 nucleotides long. RefSeq lists it as uncharacterized. The record is from RefSeq and is a predicted model, not a curated record. Lineage: Eukaryota; Metazoa; Chordata; Mammalia; Eulipotyphla; Erinaceidae. The transcript has 3 exons.
GUGGCCGGACGCCUUGUCGGGGAGGGGCCACGCCGUCCCUGCAGGGCACCCGCCUGCUGGAUGGAGGCUCUGGAUCCCAGGUUCGAGCCCCCUGUCCAUAUGAAGCUUUUUCGAGCCCUGCUGUCUGCUGUCCGUGGAGAUGAUGGGGAGCCCGCAGUGAAGGCCAAGCAGCGGGAGGCCCAAGGACUUGUAGUCAGGAGGCCCGGCUGAAUAUCCCCUCACAGGCCCUGGUCCCGGGUUCAACCCCCAGCAAGAACCCACCUAACAGACCUGCGGCUGCUCCGUCUAUGGCCCGGCUCCUUUUGGACCGGCAGAGCACAUGAAGAAGCCCUCGCCCCCCUGCCACAGCGCUCCGGACUCGGUCUGCGGGAACAGGAACACGACUGCGGCAGACGGACAGACGCAUCCCAGAGUCACCUGUGCCCGCCUACCCGCCAGCCCCCGAGCCGCUCCACCCCGCUCCGUGCGCAAACCUCAGCAGGCACGGGCUUCGGGCCAGGAGAGGAAGCCCGCACCUGGAGGCGGGGAAGCAGAUCUACAGGUGUCUUUCUCUUUCCCUGUCUUCCCAUCCUCUCUCCAUUUCUCUCUGUCCUGUCCAACAAUGACGACAAUAAUAACUACAAGGGCAACAAAAGGGAAUAAAUAAAUAUUAAAAAAAAAGUUUGAGCCCCGGCUCCCCAGCUGCAGGGCAGUUGCUUCACAGGCAGUGAGGCAGGUCUGCAGGUGUCUGUCUUUCUUUCUUCUGUCUUCCCUCCUCUCUCGAUUUCUGUCUUAUCCAACAACAGCAACAACAAUAAGGGUAACACAGUGAGGAAAGUGGCCUCCAGGAGCAGUGGAUUCAUAGUGUAGGCACCGAGAAGAGUGAAUUCUUGGUGACACAGAUUCAGGCUUGUGUUUCUGCGGAGGCCCAGCACAGGUGCCUGUAUUCUGGGCACAUCUGAGCACAGUCUGUACAAAUGAUGCCAGUGAGCAAAGUUGCCAGGAGCCCGGGUGGGGGCAUGCCUGGUUGAAUGCAUAUUACAGUGUGCAAGGACCCGGGUUCGAGCCCCCAAACCCCACCUGCAGGAGAAACUUCACAAAUGGUGAAGCUGGGCUGCAGAUGCUUCUCCGUCUCCCCCUCUCCAUUUCUGGCGG